CAAAAGCCACGCCCUUGAAAGUAGAAGAGAACGUGAAAAAUCCAAUCUCGCGUAUGUGGGUGACCUCGCUAAAGCAAGCCUGCCCAACGGUCAGCCUUGAAAGACGGAGAGAAGAGAAAACCAAAGAUAUCAAUACAAGAGGCUAAUCCUGCUUAUUUCGGUAUUGGAGAAGGAUAUCACGAGAAUAUUGCUUUGAAGAAAACGCACCGGUAGCUUGGAAAAAAAAAGGAAUGUAAGUAUAAACAAUAU
Long non-coding RNA from Limulus polyphemus (Atlantic horseshoe crab), 249 nucleotides. RefSeq lists it as uncharacterized. The transcript has 3 exons. The record is from RefSeq and is a predicted model, not a curated record. Lineage: Eukaryota; Metazoa; Arthropoda; Merostomata; Xiphosura; Limulidae.